GGGCCCGUAGCUCAGUCUGGCAGAGCACUUGGCUUUUAACCAAGGUGUCCUGGGUUCGAAUCCCAGCGGGCUCG
Molecule: transfer RNA, 74 nt
Filed under: Candidatus Iainarchaeum sp.
Lineage: Archaea; Nanobdellati; Candidatus Iainarchaeota; Candidatus Iainarchaeia; Candidatus Iainarchaeales; Candidatus Iainarchaeaceae
Description: tRNA-Lys
Rfam family: tRNA
About the family: Transfer RNA (tRNA) molecules are approximately 80 nucleotides in length. Their secondary structure includes four short double-helical elements and three loops (D, anti-codon, and T loops).
Source: RNAcentral